GGCGAGCUCGGGCGCGGUGACGACGACCUCCCCACGGCGAUGACGACCUCGGCGACGACGACGGCGGCGGGCGGUGGCGGCGAGGUCGGGCGCGGCGGAUCCGGCGCGGUGGCGAGUGGCGGCGGCGAGCUCGGUUGCCAUGCACGGCAGGAUGCGGGUUCCGCCGCCGUCUCCGCUCUGGUGCUCUCAGCCAGCCCAGCGACCAGCCUCCCGCUCCCACUCCGGUGCUCCUGGCUGGCCUCCCGCUCCCGCUCCAGCGCUCGUCACCUCGGUUGCUCGUCCCUAGCCCUGCAGCCUUCGCUUCGAUUCCAGCGGAACGCAAUGGCCUUCCCCUGCAGGUAAGUUGGUGAACAGGCGAUGAUUGGAAGUUGCCAUCUGUUGUUGCCUUGACUAGAAUGAUUUUGAUGGAUGUAUGUUUGGUAUUACUGAUUAGUGACCUGGUGAUCUGUUGGACUUGUAGGACUUUGGUGGACGUAUUUUGUUGUGAUUCA
Non-coding RNA from Oryza sativa Japonica Group (Japanese rice), 491 nucleotides. The record is from RefSeq and is a predicted model, not a curated record. Lineage: Eukaryota; Viridiplantae; Streptophyta; Magnoliopsida; Poales; Poaceae.